ACACGAGGCCUCCACUGCGGUUGCGCAGCCUGCCGAAGAGCGUGCGGCUUCUACUGCGGCUGCGCAAGCUCGACGCGCGCACUCUUGUCUGCUUACGAGGGCUCCUCCCUUCAGCUUUGGUCCCUCGGGGCGUCUGGGCAGCCUACGCUUUCCGUAAACACUGGGAUGCCGGAGCUCAGGCAUCCCAGACAGGAGGAAGUGUGUACUCACACCAGCCAGGAGGAAACAAGCCUGCCUGGGAGGACAGACGAUCAGCCCUGGCUGUCCCUCAGGAGCGGGGGGCCUCCAAGGCACACUGCCCACUGGGUCAAGGAGUAUCCAGGAGGAGUUAGAAGCAUGACCCAUCUGCCUGGCACCAGCACCUGGGGCUGCCAGGCAGCCACCCCUGCAGCUGUGUUGACAGGACCUGGCAGAGGGACUGACCCACCUUUGGAAAAUGACACCAGCAAUAUCAGGAUGUGUCAACUGGAUUUAUGCUAAGAAAAUAGGAUUUUUGGUGUUCCUCUGUUUCCCAAAGUUUGAGACACUUUCAGACACUCUGCUUUGCGGUUGUGGC
RNAcentral lists this long non-coding RNA (556 nucleotides) under Homo sapiens (human). RNAcentral describes it as "non-protein coding TTC28-AS1:6". The stretch from base 156 to 336 matches the Rfam family "TTC28 antisense RNA 1 conserved region 3". The record is from RNAcentral. Lineage: Eukaryota; Metazoa; Chordata; Mammalia; Primates; Hominidae.